GACAGAGGGGGCAAGCGUUGUCCGGAUUGACUGGGCGUAAAGCGCACGUAGGUGGUACGGCGCGUGGGGUGUGAAAUCGGCCGGCUUAACCGGUCGCCGCCAUCCCAAACGGCCGCACUCGAGCCACAUAGAGGUCGCUGGAAUUGCCGGUGUAGUGGUGAAAUGCGUAGAGAUCGGCAGGAACACCAAGGGGGAAGCCAGGCGACUGGGUGUGUGCUGACACUGAGGUGCGACAGCGUGGGGAGCGAACUGG
Molecule: ribosomal RNA, 253 nt
Filed under: uncultured bacterium
Lineage: Bacteria
Description: partial 16S ribosomal RNA
Rfam family: Bacterial small subunit ribosomal RNA
Source: RNAcentral